UGUGAAGCAGCAGCAGAGGAGAGUCCAGAUGAAGAUCAGCAUCAUGUUUGUGAUGAGGAGGAUUUCUGUGUCUUCUGUUGUCAUGAAGGACAGCUGUCAGUCAUCCAGUGUGUACACGUUCGGUGGAGGAACCAGACUGGAAGUUAACUUGGGUGAAGUCCGUCCCUCCCUGACGGUGCUGCCCCCCUCCAGAGAGGAGCUGCAGCAGGGGAAGGCCACGUUCAUGUGUCUGGCCAACAAGGGCUUCCCCUCAGACUGGAGUCUGUCCUGGAAGGUGGACGGCAGCAGCAGCAUCAGCUGGGAGGAGAGCAGGAGCCCCGGGGUGCUGCAGGAGGAUGGCCUCUACAGCUGGAGCAGCACCCUGAGGCUCUCUGCAGACCAGUGGGGGAAGGUGGGCUCUGUGAGCUGUGAGGCCACCCAGGGCUCCCAGACUCUGCUCUCAGAGACACUGAGGAGAGACCAGUGUUCCCAGUCCUGACCUCCCUCACUGCAACAUCACACUGGUCUCACUCUGCUGC
Stegastes partitus (bicolor damselfish) is the source of this 518-nucleotide non-coding RNA. The record is from the annotation of a RefSeq genome assembly. NCBI's taxonomy places the organism in Eukaryota, Metazoa, Chordata, Actinopteri, Pomacentridae.